UACGGGGGGUGCGAGCGUUGUCCGGAAUUACUGGGCGUAAAGCGCGUGUAGGCGGUUGUUCAAGUCAGGUGUGAAAGCCUUGAGCUCAACUCAAGAAAUGCACUUGAUACUGGAUGACUAGAGGACCGGAGAGGAUAGUGGAAUUCCCAGUGUAGUGGUGAAAUACGUAGAGAUUGGGAAGAACACCAGUGGCGAAGGCGGCUAUCUGGACGGUUUCUGACGCUAAGACGCGAAAGCGUGGGGAGCAAACAGG
This 253-nucleotide ribosomal RNA is filed under the name uncultured bacterium. RNAcentral describes it as "partial 16S ribosomal RNA". It matches the Rfam family "Bacterial small subunit ribosomal RNA", at positions 524 to 776 of the family's 1533-position model. The record is from RNAcentral.